CCAAUAGCGUAUAUUAAAGUUGUUGCAGUUAAAAAGCUCGUAGUUGAAUUUCGGGAUCAAUAUGUCGGUCGUGCCUUCGGUACGUACUGGUAUCAUUGGUCUCUCCUUUCUGACGAACCAUGAUGUCAUUAAUUUGGUGUUAUGGGGAGUUAGGACUGUUACUUUGAGAAAAUUAGAGUGUUUAAAGCAGGCUUUAGCUUGAAUACAUUAGCAUGGAAUAAUGAAAUAGGACGUUCGAACCUAUUUUGUUGGUUUCUAGGAUCAACGUAAUGAUUAAUAGGGAUAGUUGGGGGCAUUAGUAUUCAAUUGUCAGGGGUGAAAUUCUUGGAUUUAUUGAAGACUAACUACUGCGAAAGCAUUUGCCAAGGAUGUUUUCAUUAAUCAAGAACGAAAGUUAGGGGAUCGAAGACGAUCAGAUACCGUCGUAGUCUUAACCAUAAACUAUGCCGACUAGGGAUCGGAUGAUGUUAAUUUUUUAAUGACUCAUUCGGCGCCUUACG
Molecule: ribosomal RNA, 500 nt
Filed under: uncultured Glomeromycotina
Lineage: Eukaryota; Fungi; Glomeromycota
Description: partial small subunit ribosomal RNA
Rfam family: Eukaryotic small subunit ribosomal RNA
Source: RNAcentral